AUAAUGGGUCAGCGACUUAUAUUCUGUAGCAAGGUUAACCGAAUAGGGGAGCCGAAGGGAAACCGAGUCUUAACUGGGCGUUAAGUUGCAGGGUAUAGACCCGAAACCCGGUGAUCUAGCCAUGGGCAGGUUGAAGGUUGGGUAACACUAACUGGAGGACCGAACCGACUAAUGUUGAAAAAUUAGCGGAUGACUUGUGGCUGGGGGUGAAAGGCCAAUCAAACCGGGAGAUAGCUGGUUCUCCCCGAAAGCUAUUUAGGUAGCGCCUCGUGAAUUCAUCUCCGGGGGUAGAGCACUGUUUCGGCAAGGGGGUCAUCCCGACUUACCAACCCGAUGCAAACUGCGAAUACCGGAGAAUGUUAUCACGGGAGACACACGGCGGGUGC
RNAcentral lists this ribosomal RNA (386 nucleotides) under Escherichia coli. Its description in RNAcentral is "partial 23S ribosomal RNA". It matches the Rfam family "Bacterial large subunit ribosomal RNA", at positions 612 to 998 of the family's 2925-position model. The record is from RNAcentral. Lineage: Bacteria; Pseudomonadati; Pseudomonadota; Gammaproteobacteria; Enterobacterales; Enterobacteriaceae.